UUGGAGGGCAAGUCUGGUGCCAGCAGCCGCGGUAAUUCCAGCUCCAAUAGCGUAUAUUAAAGUUGUUGCAGUUAAAAAGCUCGUAGUUGAACUUCGGGAUCAAUGGAUCGGUCAUGCCAUCGGUAUGUACUGGUCUCAUUGGUUCUCACCUUCUAAGGAACCAUAAUGUCAUUCAUUUGAUGUUUUGGGGAAUUAGGACUGUUACCUUGAAAAAAUUAGAGUGUUUAAAGCAGGCUAACGCUUGAAUACAUUAGCAUGGAAUAAUGAAAUAGGACAUCGCAUUCUAUUUUGUUGGUUUCUAGGAUCGAUGUAAUGAUUAAUAGGGAUAGUUGGGGGCAUUAGUAUUCAAUUGUCAGAGGUGAAAUUCUUGGAUUUAUUGAAGACUAACUACUGCGAAAGCAUUUGCCAAGGAUGUUUUCAUUAAUCAAGAACGAAAGUUAGGGGAUCGAAGACGAUCAGAUACCGUCGUAGUCUUAACCAUAAACUAUGCCGACUAGGGAUCGGAUGAUGUUGAUUUUUUAAUGACUCAUUCGGCACCUUACGGGAAACCAAAGUGUUUGGGUUC
RNAcentral lists this ribosomal RNA (565 nucleotides) under uncultured Glomeromycotina. Its description in RNAcentral is "SSU rRNA". It matches the Rfam family "Eukaryotic small subunit ribosomal RNA", at positions 548 to 1114 of the family's 1831-position model. The record is from RNAcentral. Lineage: Eukaryota; Fungi; Glomeromycota.